GGGGCUAUUUGUUGUUCGCUGUUCGCGGGAAUGGUUUAAGGCAAAGAGAAAACGGGCAAUUAUAAAAAUGUGUGGGAGAAAAAUUAGGAUUAAAAAAAUUUUUUUGAAGAAUUAAAUUUUUCAAAAAAAAUAAAGCUUAUAAUAAUAAACUUUAAUCUUUUUUUAAAUUUAAAGUUUAUUAUUAUAAGCUUUAUUUUUUUAAAAAAUUUAAUGUUAUUAUUAUUUUAAGCUUUAUUAUCAGAUAUUUUAAAGCAGCUUUAUUCUAAAUCUGAUAAUAAUCAUAAGCUUUAUAAUCCUAAUUUUUCUCCAGCUGCAAUAUUUAUUUGGCUCCAGACAAUUGUCAGGAAUUGCCAUUGAUAACUUUUGUGAAAGUGCCGCUGAUAAAUUGUAAAUAAUUUAGAUAUCUUUUGCAAAGGAAAUUAAAUAUAUAAUAAGCUGUCAUUAAUUUUUUAAUUUCAGAUUAUUUUCGAGAUUUUAUUCUAAAAUUAUCAAUAUAAUCAAUAUUAAUGACAGCUUAAUUACCCGCAGACUGGGUAAUUCCAGCUCUGCUAACUACCUAAAUAAAAGAUAUCUGGUUGAUCCUGCCUGAACUGAUGUGUUCAUUUCAAAGAUUAAGCCAUGCAUGUAUAAGUUUAAUCGUUUUAACGAGAAACCGCGAACGGCUCAUUACAAUGGCCAUGAUUUACUUGAUCUUGAUUAUCUAAAUGGAUAACUGUGGAAAAGCUAGAGCUAAUACAUGCACCAAAGCUUUGUCCUCUCGGAAAAGCGCAUUUAUUAGAACAAAACCACGCGGCUUCGGCUGCUUCUUGUUGACUCAGAAUAACUAAGCUGACCGCAUGGCCUUGUGCCGGCGGCGUGUCUUUCAAGCGUCCACUUUAUCAACUUGACGGGAGCACUCCACUUAGCACUCCACGUGCAGGUGUAACGUCGGGGCGCAAAAUCACUUGUAUACGACUUGAAUACUGGUCAGGGGGUUGUAAACAGUAGAGCAGCUCUUCGCUGCGAUCUGCUGAGACUUAGCCCUUGAUCGGAUGAUUUGUCUUUUUUAUAUACUAUAGACAUGUUUAUCCAAGUGCCGUAGGCCAGAGUGCAUUGUCAAAAGUAGACCCAGGCAAUCAAAUUUCACCAGGCAUUUUUGGUUUAUGAGUCUGUGACGAUCCGAUUAAAAAUUGCCUCAGGCAAAGUAGACCAAAGUGCAAUUGACCAAGUGUCGUAGGGUAAUAGGGUUCCCCCAGGCAAUCAAAUUUCACCAGGCAUUUUUGGUUUAUGAGUCUGUGACGAUCCGAUUAAAAAUUGCCUCAGGCAAAGUAGACCAAAGUGCAAUUGACCACCACCAAGUGUAGGGUUCAGGCAAUAGGGUUCCCCCAGGCAAUCAAAUUUCACCAGGCAUUUUUGGUUUAUGAGUCUGUGACGAUCCGAUUAAAAAUUGCCUCAGGCAAAGUAGACCAAAGUGCAAUUGACCAAGUGUAGUAGGGUUCAGGCAAUAGGGUUCCCCCAGGCAAUCAAAUUUCACCAGGCAUUUUUGGUUUAUGAGUCUGUGACGAUCCGAUUAAAAAUUGCCUCAGGCAAAGUAGACCAAAGUGCAAUUGACCAAGUGUCGUAGGGUAAUAGGGUUCCCCCAGGCAAUCAAAUUUCACCAGGCAUUUUUGGUUUAUGAGUCUGUGACGAUCCGAUUAAAAAUUGCCUCAGGCAAAGUAGACCAAAGUGCAAUUGACCAAGUGUCGUAGGGUAAUAGGGUUCCCCCAGGCAAUCAAAUUUCACCAGGCAUUUUUGGUUUAUGAGUCUGUGACGAUCCGAUUAAAAAUUGCCUCAGGCAAAGUAGACCAAAGUGCAAUUGACCAAGUGUCGUAGGGUAAUAGGGUUCCCCCAGGCAAUCAAAUUUCACCAGGCAUUUUUGGUUUAUGAGUCUGUGACGAUCCGAUUAAAAAUUGCCUCAGGCAAAGUAGACCAAAGUGCAAUUGACCAAGUGUCGUAGGGUAAUAGGGUUCCCCCAGGCAAUAAUUAUCUACUCAAGUAUACUCAAGUAAAAAUCAUUUACUCAAGUAUAAAAUCAUUUACUCAAUUAUACUCAAGUAAAAGGUAUGUAUAUAAUAUAGGGUUCCCCCAGGCAAUCAUUAUCUACUUAAUUAUACUCAAGAUUGGCGCUGAACACUUCGAUUGGCGCUGAACAACCAGUUUAGAACUGGCACGAACUCCGGGAAUCCGACUGUCUAAUUAAAACAGAGGAGACGGAUGGUCUUUGCAGGACGUUGACCGUGUCUGAUUUCUGCCCAGUGCUCUGAAUGUUAAGCCAAGGAAACUUGAUUAAGCGCGGGUAAACGGCGGGAGUAACUAUGACUCUCUUAAGGUAGCCAAAUGCCUCGUCGGCUAACUACCGACGCGCACGAAUGGAUCAACGAGAUUCCCACUGUCCCUAUCUACUAUCUAGCGAAACCACAGCCAAGGGAACGGGCUUGGCAAAUUUAGCGGGGAAAGAAGACCCUGUUGAGCUUGACUCUAGUCUGACUUUGUGAAGAAUCAUGAGAGGUGUAGCAUAAGUGGGAGUCGUAAGACAACAGUGAAAUACCACUACUUUCAUCGAUUCCUUACUUAAUCGGUAAAACGGGAGUUGUGUCUACGGACCUUCAUUUUUGUUUUAAGACUAGCCACUCGGUGGUUGGUUGACUCGCGCCGAUGACAUUGUCAGGCGGGGAGUUUGACUGGGGCGGUACAUCUGUCAAAUUGUAACGCAGGUGUCCUAAGGCGAGCUCAGAGAGGACGGAAACCUCUCGUUGAGCAAAAAGGCAAAUGCUUACUUGAUCUUGAUUUUCAGUACGAAUACAGACCGCGAAAGCGUGGCUUAUCGAUCCUUUUGAGUUUGUAAAGUUUACAGCAAGAGGUGUCAGAAAAGUUACCACAGGGAUAACUGGCUUGUGGCGGCCAAGCGUCCAUAGCGACGUCGCUUUUUGAUCCUUCGAUGUCGGCUCUUCCUAUCAUUGCGAAGCAGAAUUCGCCAAGCGUUGGAUUGUUCACCCACCAAUAGGGAACGUGAGCUGGGUUUAGACCGUCGUGAGACAGGUUAGUUUUACCCUACUAAAUACUUGUUGCUAUGAUGGUAAUCCUGCUUAGUACGAGAGGAACCGCAGGUUCAGACAUUUGGUUCAUGUGCUUGGUCGAUAGGCCAAUGGCGCGAAGCUACCAUCUGAGGGAUUAUGACUGAACGCCUCUAAGUCAGAAUCCCGCCCAGUCAUGAUAGCAAUAUAUAUCGCUCUCCGGUGUCGGAAGGCAAAAUGUAUGCCACUUUUUGUGGUAGUACAAGCCCCAGUAUCUGGCAUUUUCUUUCUACUAUAAUUGGUAGUUGUUUGCUAAAAGCUUAGCACUCCACGACCAGGUGUAACGUCGGGGCGCAAAAUCACUUGUAUACGACUUGAAUACUGGUCAGGGGGUUGUAAACAGUAGAGCAGCUCUUCGCUGCGAUCUGCUGAGACUUAGCCCUUGAUCGGAUGAUUU
Molecule: non-coding RNA, 3489 nt
Organism: Meloidogyne enterolobii
Lineage: Eukaryota; Metazoa; Nematoda; Chromadorea; Rhabditida; Meloidogynidae
Source: the annotation of a GenBank genome assembly